RNAcentral lists this ribosomal RNA (631 nucleotides) under Monascus purpureus. RNAcentral describes it as "eukaryotic LSU rRNA". It matches the Rfam family "Eukaryotic large subunit ribosomal RNA", at positions 1 to 649 of the family's 3401-position model. The record is from RNAcentral. Lineage: Eukaryota; Fungi; Ascomycota; Eurotiomycetes; Eurotiales; Aspergillaceae.
ACCUCGGAUCAGGUAGGGAUACCCGCUGAACUUAAGCAUAUCAAUAAGCGGAGGAAAAGAAACCAACCGGGAUUGCCUCAGUAACGGCGAGUGAAGCGGCAAGAGCUCAAAUUUGAAAGCUGGCCCCUCCGGGGUCCGCGUUGUAAUUUGCAGAGGAUGCUUCGGGCUCAGCCCCCGUCUAAGUGCCCUGGAACGGGCCGUCGGAGAGGGUGAGAAUCCCGUCUGGGACGGGGUGCCUGGGUCCAUGUGAAGCUCCUUCGACGAGUCGAGUUGUUUGGGAAUGCAGCUCUAAAUGGGUGGUAAAUUUCAUCUAAAGCUAAAUACUGGCCGGAGACCGAUAGCGCACAAGUAGAGUGAUCGAAAGAUGAAAAGCACUUUGAAAAGAGAGUUAAACAGCACGUGAAAUUGUUGAAAGGGAAGCGCUUGCGAUCAGACUCGCCUGCGGGGUUCAGCCGGCAUUCGUGCCGGUGUACUUCCCCGUGGGCGGGCCAGCGUCGGUUCGGGUGGCCGGUCAAAGGCCCCGGGAAUGUGUCGCCCUCCGGGGCGUCUUAUAGCCCGGGGUGCCAUGCGGCCUACCUGGACCGAGGAACGCGCUUCGGCUCGGACGCUGGCGUAAUGGUCGUAAGCGACC